CGCAACAUGUGUUGUUCCCCGACUUCUGUACACGCCGGGAACUUUUGAUAGUUAACGGCGCUCCGUAUCGGCGACACAGCCGUGAGCUACGGCCACUGGAUCCGAACGACAACAGGUGCAUCAGAUAUGCAGCAUAUGCAUGUUUCACCAAUUGGAUAUGGGGGUACCUUGGCCCAAGGAACAGACGUCAGAUUCCAGGCUGUGUUGUGCGCACUAUUCGGAACCUGUUCCCAUCUGCCACGUACACAGGCUACUUCCCGUGAAAGG
Ornithodoros turicata is the source of this 267-nucleotide long non-coding RNA. RefSeq lists it as uncharacterized. NCBI's taxonomy places the organism in Eukaryota, Metazoa, Arthropoda, Arachnida, Ixodida, Argasidae. The record is from RefSeq and is a predicted model, not a curated record. The transcript has 2 exons.